GUCCUAUACAGACCAUACAGGAAUAGUUAGAGGCAGCAUGGCCAAGCUUAGAGAAAGACCUAACCAGAGACCUCUGAAUGGAAGAUUCCAUUCAGUUACAAGAGAAAUGGGGGAAUGAAAGACCCGCUCGAAAUGCCCCUGAGCCCCCUGCCCCGAAGCUGCUGGGGCCUCCCAAGCCUUCACCCCGGCAGGGCUCGCGCCCCUGGCCCGCCCCGUCUGGCACCGCGCCUCGGGGCUGGGGCCGAGCAACGAGCACCAGGUGGGCAGGCCCGAGAAUGAGCACCAGGUGGGCAGGCCCGAGAAUGAGCACCGGGUGGGCCGGCACGAGGGCGAGCACCAGGUGGGCCGGCACGAGAACGAACACCAAGUGAGCCGGCCUGAAGCCCUGCCCCUGAGCCCCCGCCCGAAGAGAAACACUCCGUCCCAAGGUCUCCGCCCCCAAGGUCAGCCAUCAGGAAGGGGGGGGAUUGAGUCUGCUGUACCAGACACCAGACCUUGAGAAUAUGCUGAUCUGGAAUGGCUCUGUGUCUCAUUUGAAC
Molecule: long non-coding RNA, 539 nt
Filed under: Cricetulus griseus (Chinese hamster)
Lineage: Eukaryota; Metazoa; Chordata; Mammalia; Rodentia; Cricetidae
Description: lncRNA (ENSCGRG00015034187.1)
Source: RNAcentral